AUAUCUCUCUGUACGGGAAGGAUGAGAAGGUUCGAUUCGAGCGUCAGCGAGAAAGCGUUGCCGCAGGCAACGACCCGAAGGGCGAAGCGCG
This 91-nucleotide small RNA is filed under the name Salmonella enterica subsp. enterica serovar Enteritidis. RNAcentral's name for it is "partial RtT sRNA". It matches the Rfam family "RtT RNA", at positions 1 to 100 of the family's 130-position model. Rfam says of the family: This family represents a bacterial cis-regulatory element known as RtT RNA. The exact function of RtT is unknown although it is thought that it may be involved in changing the cellular response in relation to amino acid starvation. Lineage: Bacteria; Pseudomonadati; Pseudomonadota; Gammaproteobacteria; Enterobacterales; Enterobacteriaceae. The record is from RNAcentral.